This is a long non-coding RNA of Raphanus sativus (radish), 527 nucleotides long. RefSeq lists it as uncharacterized. The record is from RefSeq and is a predicted model, not a curated record. NCBI's taxonomy places the organism in Eukaryota, Viridiplantae, Streptophyta, Magnoliopsida, Brassicales, Brassicaceae. The transcript has 2 exons.
UCUCUGCUCCUCUCAUCUUUUCUUCUUCUUCUCUAUCGAUCUCUGCUCCUCUCAAAUUCUUCCGUCGCAAACCUAAAAAAAAAUCAAAGAUCCAUCUUUUCUUCUUCUCUGGUUAAUUCUCCAUCUUUUACGAAGUACUCCACUUCUCAUCUCGCUGGUUCGUGUCUCGAGCCCAAGAGAAUCUCCAAUCAAAACAGAAUCUGAGAUCGACUAAGCCAUCGAGAUAAGCAGAAGAUGAAGAUGAUCAAGAACAGCAGGAGACGGAGAGAAGAAGCGGAAGCAGAAGAAUAAGCAACGACGGAGGAGUUUCAUCGAUGAAGGUUGUGGCGGCGGAGGAGGCAGAGUGGGGGAGACGGUGCGGAGGAGAGCGAAGGAGUUAGGAUAUUUUUUUUGUUUUUUAGAUUUAGUUUUUAAACCUGGUUUGUGUGUAUUAAUUAGUAAACUGAAAACAUUUGUAAUCUGGUUUAAUUUAUAAACCGAAUCAGUUGUAAACCAAAAUUUUAAUAUAAACCGAAAUAAUUUGUAAA